Molecule: unclassified non-coding RNA, 148 nt
Organism: Macaca fascicularis (crab-eating macaque)
Lineage: Eukaryota; Metazoa; Chordata; Mammalia; Primates; Cercopithecidae
Rfam family: Metazoan signal recognition particle RNA
About the family: The signal recognition particle (SRP) is a universally conserved ribonucleoprotein. It is involved in the co-translational targeting of proteins to membranes.
Source: Ensembl
GCUGGGUGUGGUGGCGCACACCUGUAGUCCCAGCUACUCAGGAGGCUGAGGCAGGAGAAUCGCUUGAACCCGGGAGGCAGGGGUUGCAGUGAACUGAAAUCGUGCCACUGUACUCCAGCCUGGGCGACAGAGAGAGACUCUGUCUCAA